AAGUUAAUCAACAUUAUUAAAUAAAACAUAACCACAAAAUGUCAAAAUUACAUCACUAAGUUAGGAUAUGUACUACCAAAUUCCAUGUAGCUGUUUGUGGAAAUUACAACCCUCCAUCAAAAUCACUUGUUUCAACAGGUUCAUCCAUUCGAAUCAUUAUGACACCUUAAAGCUGCCCAGAAAUUGCACCUCGAAGGACAUAAAGGAUUCCUACAUAAAACUGUCUAAAGAGAACCAUCCAGAUGUGAACAAAAAUAAAUCAGCCCACAAAGAAUUCUUGAAGAUUAAAGAAGCUUAUAAUGUGUUAAGCAAACCGAGUUCUAGAAGACAGUAUGAUAUGUGCAUUAAAUAUGGCAGUCCACAAACGCGCACACCCUAUCAACAACACACCCAUGAUCCUUGGAAAGAUCCGUUUUUUUAUGCUAAUAGAGACAAAACCAAAGAUCAGUACUAUGAACAAAAGCCAUAUUAUGGGGUGAAUGGUAUAAAUAGAUUGCCUAAUAAUAUGAUUGCUUUUUUCUGUGUUAUGUUGACUGUGAUUAUUGUGGGACUUCAAGUCUUUACAAUCAGGAGAAUAUUUGAAAAAGAAAAACAAGAUAGAAUAUUGAGAGAACAGAGAAUUAUAUGGAUUAAAAAAGCAUGUACUAAUAGCAAUGAAAAUUCACAACCUAAAACAUCAUAAACACCAAUUAUAAUUUGGCAGUAAAAAUUUAAAUGAUAAUGAAAAAACAAAAAAAUAGAAAAAACAAGAAAUUAAUAUAUAUCUACCCAACACUCGAUCACGUUCAAACGUGACGAAUUACAGCGUAGGUCGAACGAGGCUGAGGCUACGCUGAAAAAAGUCAGAGAAGCGGCAGAAGCUAAUGGAAAUCAAAAGCAAAUUGAACUGCUCAAAGCUUGGGUUUCUGAACAUGGGAAAUAAAUUUAUGUAGAUUAUAUUUUAUAAAAAUAAUAAACUAUUUGAUU
Aethina tumida (small hive beetle) is the source of this 966-nucleotide RNA transcript. It is a transcript of the gene named dnaJ-like protein 60, with no coding region annotated. The record is from RefSeq and is a predicted model, not a curated record. NCBI's taxonomy places the organism in Eukaryota, Metazoa, Arthropoda, Insecta, Coleoptera, Nitidulidae. The transcript is spliced from 6 exons.